UACGUGAGCCCCGAGCGUUAUCCGGAAUUACUGGGCGUAAAGCGUGCGUAGGCGGUUUGUUAAGUCUGCUGUGAAAUCCCCGGGCUCAACCUGGGAAUGGCAGUGGAUACUGGCAAGCUAGAGUGUGUCAGAGGAUGGUGGAAUUCCCGGUGUAGCGGUGAAAUGCGUAGAGAUCGGGAGGAACAUCAGUGGCGAAGGCGGCCAUCUGGGACAACACUGACGCUGAGGCACGAAAGCGUGGGGAGCAAACAGG
Molecule: ribosomal RNA, 253 nt
Filed under: uncultured bacterium
Lineage: Bacteria
Description: partial 16S ribosomal RNA
Rfam family: Bacterial small subunit ribosomal RNA
Source: RNAcentral